CCUACGGGUGGCAGCAGUGGGGAAUAUUGCACAAUGGGGGAAACCCUGAUGCAGCGACGCCGCGUGAGUGAAGAAGUAUUUUGGUAUGUAAAGCUCUAUCAGCAGGGAAGAAAAUGACGGUACCUGAUCAAGAAGCCCCGGCUAACUACGUGCCAGCAGCCGCGGGAAUACGUAGGGGGCAAGCGUUAUCCGGAUUUACUGGGUGGAAAGGGAGCGUAGACGGCAGCGCAAGUCUGGGGUGAAAUGCCGGGGCUUAACCCGGGAACUGCUUUUGAAACUGGGCAUCUAGAGUGCAGGAGAGGUAAGUGGAAUUCCUGGUGUAGCAGUGAAAUGCGUAGAUAUUAGGAGGAACACCAGUGGCGAAGGCGACUUACUGGACUGUAACUGACGUUGAGGCUCGAAAGCGUGGGGAGCAAACAGGAUUAGAUACCCUUGUAGUC
Molecule: ribosomal RNA, 440 nt
Filed under: uncultured bacterium
Lineage: Bacteria
Description: partial 16S ribosomal RNA
Rfam family: Bacterial small subunit ribosomal RNA
Source: RNAcentral